RNAcentral lists this ribosomal RNA (311 nucleotides) under uncultured bacterium. Its description in RNAcentral is "bacterial SSU rRNA". It matches the Rfam family "Bacterial small subunit ribosomal RNA", at positions 28 to 334 of the family's 1533-position model. The record is from RNAcentral.
GAUGAACGCUGGCGGCGUGCUUAACACAUGCAAGUCGAGCGAUGAAGUUUCCUUCGGGAAACGGAUUAGCGGCGGACGGGUGAGUAACACGUGGGUAACCUGCCUCAUAGAGUGGAAUAGCCUUCCGAAAGGAAGAUUAAUACCGCAUAACGUUGAAAGACUGGCAUCAUCAUUUAACCAAAGGAGCAAAUCCGCUAUGAGACUGGACCCGCGGCGCAUUAGCUAGUGGUGGGGUAACGGCCUACCAAGGCGACGAUGCGUAGCCGACCUGAGAGGGUGAUCGGCCACAUUGGGACUGAGACACGGCCCAG